UGAGCCACCCAGACACCCCGACUGCAAAUACAAUAUGACUGCAACUAGUUUUAUGGCAAUUGUGAACCUUGUGGAGUUGCUGAUGCUGAGGUGAAACCAGAAUAUGAGCCUACUCUAAACUGAUUUGCAGCACAGUAAGAAUGGAAGAAUAAGAGAUUCUCUAUGUCACUACAUCACCUGGUCACAUCUCAUCUAAAGCUGUGUGGUUCCCUUUUAAAUUUUUCAAUGUGGACAAAAAUGUUUUUCCUUGGUGUAACUAAGACAGGCUGGUAUUUUCAAGAACAGCUUUACUAAACAUGAGGGAAAACAGAAAACAAAUAAUUACAGAAAACAUACAUGAUAUAAAAAUAGCCAAGUUUCCAACUGCAGGUUUCUGUUUCUAAAAAUUCCAUUAAAAGUAGGAAAGUUUUACUGGGCCUCAAUUUCAUUUACCCUUAGUCAACCACAUCCCUUAAUUUUGCUAUAUCCUGUCUGGACUCCUUCUCUCCCACCUCCAACACCUCAUCUAUCCCUGAGCCCUAUAAUCUUGAGCUACUAGCUUAGUUUUUUGAAUCCAUAUCCCAAGGAAAAAAAUACCCAAUAACUUACUUUUAAAACUAUCAUUCUCCUAAUAAAAAUACCCUGGACUCCCAAAGACCUGCCAGAAUGCCUGCUUACAAGAGGUUUUCAAGUUUUGAUGUUGAAGAGCCACUGGGUCUCCAACAUUAACUCUUCUCAAUUCUGAUAUUAAAUCAGCAUAGA
This is a non-coding RNA of Leptonychotes weddellii (Weddell seal), 741 nucleotides long. The record is from RefSeq and is a predicted model, not a curated record. NCBI's taxonomy places the organism in Eukaryota, Metazoa, Chordata, Mammalia, Carnivora, Phocidae.